UAGGGAAUCUUCGGCAAUGGACGAAAGUCUGACCGAGCAACGCCGCGGGAGUGAAGAAGGUUUUCGGAUCGUAAAACUCUGUUGUUAGAGAAGAACAAGGACGUUAGUAACUGAACGUCCCCUGACGGUAUCUAACCAGAAAGCCACGGCUAACUACGUGCCAGCAGCCGCGGUAAUACGUAGGUGGCAAGCGUUGUCCGGAUUUAUUGGGCGUAAAGCGAGCGCAGGCGGUUUCUUAAGUCUGGUGUGAAAGCCCCCGGCUCAACCGGGGAGGGUCAUUGGAAACUGGGAGACUUGAGUGCAGAAGAGGAGAGUGGAAUUCCAUGUGUAGCGGUGAAAUGCGUAGAUAUAUGGAGGAACACCAGUGGCGAAGGCGGCUCUCUGGUCUGUAACUGACGCUGAGGCUCGAAAGCGUGGGGAGCAAACAGG
This 429-nucleotide ribosomal RNA is filed under the name Gemmatimonadota bacterium. Its description in RNAcentral is "Gemmatimonadetes bacterium partial 16S ribosomal RNA". It matches the Rfam family "Bacterial small subunit ribosomal RNA", at positions 355 to 776 of the family's 1533-position model. The record is from RNAcentral. Lineage: Bacteria; Pseudomonadati; Gemmatimonadota.